UUCCGGUUGAUCCUGCCGGACCUGACUGCUAUCGGAUUGAUACUAAGCCAUGUGAGUCAUUGCAGCAAUGCAAGGCAGACGGCUCAGUAACACGUAGUCAACCUACCCUAUAGACGGGGAUAACCUCGGGAAACUGAGGAUAAACCCCGAUAGAUCAUUAUGCCUGGAACGGUUUAUGGUCCAAAUGAUUCGUCGCUAUAGGAUGGGACUGCGGCCUAUCAGCUUGUUGGUGAGGUAAUGGCCCACCAAGGCUAUUACAGGUACGGGCUCUGAGAGGAGAGGCCCGGAGAUGGGUACUGAGACACGGACCCAGGUCCUAUGGGGCGCAGCAGGCGAGAAAACUUUGCAAUGUGCGCAAGCACGACAAGGUUAAUCCGAGUGAUUCCUGCUAAAGGAAUCUUUUGUUAGUUGUAAAACCACUGAUGAAUAAGGGGUGGGCAAGUUCUGGUGUCAGCCGCCGCGGUAAAACCAGCACCUCAAGUGGUCAGGAGGAUUAUUGGGCCUAAAGCAUCCGUAGCCUGCUUUGUAAGUUUUCGGUUAAAUCCAUCAGCUCAACUGAUGGGCCGCCGAAAAAACGGCAAAGCUAGGGAGUGGGAGAGGUAGACGGUACUCGAUAGGAAGGGGUAAAAUCCUUUGAUCUAUUGAUGACCCCCUGUGGCGAAGGCGGUCUACCAGAACACGUUCGACGGUGAGGGAUGAAAGCUGGGGGAGCAAACCGGAUUAGAUACCCGGGUAGUCCCAGCUGUAAACGAUGCAGACUCGGUGAUGCCCUGGCUUGUGGCCAGUGCAGUGCCGCAGGGAAGCCGUUAAGUUUGCCGCCUGGGAAGUACGUACGCAAGUAUGAAACUUAAAGGAAUUGGCGGGGGAGCACCACAAGGGGUGAAGCCUGCGGUUCAAUUGGAGUCAACGCCGG
This 913-nucleotide ribosomal RNA is filed under the name uncultured archaeon. RNAcentral describes it as "bacterial SSU rRNA". It matches the Rfam family "Archaeal small subunit ribosomal RNA", at positions 1 to 921 of the family's 1478-position model. The record is from RNAcentral.